CUGUAACAAUUUCGGUGAGGAGGCUUGUCAGCCUGCUAGAAGAGCUAUAAAAGAGAAGCCUUGGGCCUGAUCCUGUCAGCUCUUGCCUGCUUAAACUUUGAACAGGGAAAGGAUAAACUGUAAGAUGGAGAUUUUCCAAAUAAUUAUUUGGAAAUACCUGGGAAAAUAUAUGGAAAGACUCGAACAGACUUUACAUCUAAGCUGCCUUUGUAGUCUGACCUUUUGGGAUGAUUCCAGAGACUUUUACAAGUCAGCAGUUUAUUGCAUCACUGCUGUGAUCUUGAUCUAAGAAUACGGGAAAUCAUUUAAUAAACUACCAGUUUGAGGGAUCGUCUGCCCUAUUUCUUGCAGUCUGCCCAGUCAGAAGGAAGUGGAACAAGGUCCCUGCCCAGAGACAUGUGAUGGCUGGAGACCUGAGUCCUGACAGGGCACUUCUGGAGUGGACAACAGAGGAAGAAUACAGAUGCAAUUACAGUGAAACUGUGCCAACACCGACCUGUGAAAACAGCAGGAUCAGCCACAAUGCACUACAUAGUUUGUUAGCCAGCUCCAACUACAACUGAUUGCCCACUCUUUGAAACUCUGCCAGCUUGGAAUGUUCCAGACCUUGAAGGUGCACUAAUCACACAGUAAUUUCCGUUCCAAAAGCUCCAUACACAUACCUGGAAGCAGCUGAAGUACGGUGAUCAAAAAGACUCUCACUCUCUCUGCCUCCCUGUUGUGAGUGGAAGAAAAGGUCUCAGACUUCCCACAGCUAAAGUGAUUGGAAGGCUGACCAGCAUGAAUUCCAACAGAAAUGAAAAGAAGGAGGAAACAAUUAG
This is a long non-coding RNA of Mauremys reevesii (Reeves's turtle), 821 nucleotides long. RefSeq lists it as uncharacterized. NCBI's taxonomy places the organism in Eukaryota, Metazoa, Chordata, Testudines, Geoemydidae. The transcript has 4 exons. The record is from RefSeq and is a predicted model, not a curated record.